AUGAACGCUAGCUACAGGCUUAACACAUGCAAGUCGAGGGGUAACAGGAGAGAAGCUUGCUUUCUGCUGACGACCGGCGCACGGGUGAGUAACGCGUAUCCAACCUUCCCUAGUAGCGGAUAGCCCGGCGAAAGUCGGAUUAAUACGCUAUGUUCUUCGUUGAUGGCAUCUGAUGUGAAGCAAAGAUUUAUCGCUAAGGGAUGGGGAUGCGUCUGAUUAGGUAGUCGGCGGGGUAACGGCCCACCGAGCCAUCGAUCAGUAGGGGUUCUGAGAGGAAGGUCCCCCCACACUGGUACUGAGACACGGACCAGACUCCUACGGGAGGCAGCAGUGAGGAAUAUUGGUCAAUGGGCGCGAGCCUGAACCAGCCAAGUAGCGUGCAGGAUGAACCUGCCCUAUGGGUUGUAAACUGCUUUUAUCAGGGAAUAAAGUGAGGCACGUGUGCCUUUUUGUAUGUACCUGAUGAAUAAGGACCGGCUAAUUCCGUGCCAGCAGCUGC
Molecule: ribosomal RNA, 499 nt
Filed under: uncultured bacterium
Lineage: Bacteria
Description: bacterial SSU rRNA
Rfam family: Bacterial small subunit ribosomal RNA
Source: RNAcentral